GAUGAACGCUGGCGGCGUGCCUAAUACAUGCAAGUCGAGCGAACAGACGAGGAGCUUGCUCCUCUGACGUUAGCGGCGGACGGGUGAGUAACACGUGGAUAACCUACCUAUAAGACUGGGAUAACUUCGGGAAACCGGAGCUAAUACCGGAUAAUAUAUUGAACCGCAUGGCUCAAUAGUGAAAGACGGUUUUGCUGUCACUUAUAGAUGGAUCCGCGCCGCAUUAGCUAGUUGGUAAGGUAACGGCUUACCAAGGCAACGAUGCGUAGCCGACCUGAGAGGGUGAUCGGCCACACUGGAACUGAGACACGGUCCAGACUCCUACGGGAGGCAGCAGUAGGGAAUCUUCCGCAAAGGGCGAAAGCCUGACGGAGCAACGCCGCGUGAGUGAUGAAGGUCUUCGGAUCGUAAAACUCUGUUAUUAGGGAAGAACAAAUGUGUAAGUAACUAUGCACGUCUUGACGGUACCUAAUCAGAAAGCCACGGCUAACUACGUG
RNAcentral lists this ribosomal RNA (497 nucleotides) under uncultured bacterium. RNAcentral's name for it is "partial 16S ribosomal RNA". It matches the Rfam family "Bacterial small subunit ribosomal RNA", at positions 28 to 507 of the family's 1533-position model. The record is from RNAcentral.